AGUGAACGCUGGCGGUAGGCCUAACACAUGCCAGUCGAACGGCAGCACAGUAAGAGCUUGCUCUUACGGGUGGCGAGUGGCGGACGGGUGAGGAAUACAUCGGAAUCUACUUUUUCGUGGGGGAUAACGUAGGGAAACUUACGCUAAUACCGCAUACGACCUACGGGUGAAAGCAGGGGAUCUUCGGACCUUGCGCGAUUGAAUGAGCCGAUGUCGGAUUAGCUAGUUGGCGGGGUAAAGGCCCACCAAGGCGACGAUCCGUAGCUGGUCUGAGAGGAUGAUCAGCCACACUGGAACUGAGACACGGUCCAGACUCCGACGGGAGGCAGCAGGGGGGAAUAUUGGACAAUGGGCGCAAGCCUGAUCCAGCCAUACCGCGUGGGUGAAGAAGGCCUUCGGGUUGCAAAGCCCUUUUGUUGGGAAAGAAAAGCAGCAGGUUAAUACCCCGCUGUUCUGACGGUACCCAAAGAAUAAGCACCGGCUAACUUCGUG
This 492-nucleotide ribosomal RNA is filed under the name uncultured bacterium. Its description in RNAcentral is "partial 16S ribosomal RNA". It matches the Rfam family "Bacterial small subunit ribosomal RNA", at positions 29 to 507 of the family's 1533-position model. The record is from RNAcentral.